UCGAGAAUCUUUCGCAAUGGGCGAAAGCCUGACGAAGCGACGCCGUGUGAGCGAAGAAGGCCUUCGGGUUGUAAAGCUCUUUCGCUAGGGAACAAGAGAGACGUGGUAACAUAACGUUGAUUUGAUGGUACUUGGUAAAGAAGCACCGGCUAACUCCGUGCCAGCAGCUGCGGUAAUACGGAGGGUGCAAGCAUUGAUCGGAAUUACUGGGCGUAAAGGGCGCGUAGGCGGUUUUGAAAGUCAGAUGUGAAAUUCCGGGGCUCAACCCCGGAGCUGCAUUUGAAACUUCAGAACUAGAGGUCAGUUAGGGAAAACGGAAUUCCACGUGUAGCGGUGAAAUGCGUAGAUAUGUGGAAGAACACCAGUGGUGAAGACGGUUUUCUGGGCUGAUACUGACGCUGAGGCGCGAAAGCAAGGGGAGCAAACAGGAUUAGAUACCCGCGUAGUCC
This 449-nucleotide ribosomal RNA is filed under the name uncultured bacterium. Its description in RNAcentral is "bacterial SSU rRNA". It matches the Rfam family "Bacterial small subunit ribosomal RNA", at positions 355 to 796 of the family's 1533-position model. The record is from RNAcentral.